RNAcentral lists this ribosomal RNA (271 nucleotides) under uncultured bacterium. RNAcentral describes it as "partial 16S ribosomal RNA". It matches the Rfam family "Bacterial small subunit ribosomal RNA", at positions 524 to 794 of the family's 1533-position model. The record is from RNAcentral.
UACGUAGGGAGCAAGCGUUGUUCGGAAUUAUUGGGCGUAAAGAGCGCGUAGGCGGUUCGGUAAGUCUGACGUGAAAUCCCGGAGCUCAACUCCGGAACUGCGUUGGAUACUGCCGGGCUUGAGUGUGGGAGAGGAGAGUGGAAUUCCCAGUGUAGAGGUGAAAUUCGUAGAUAUUGGGAAGAACACCAGUGGCGAAGGCGGCUAUCUGGCCCGUGAUUGACGCUGAGGCGCGAAAGCGUGGGGAGCAAACAGGAUUAGAAACCCCGGUAGU